GCCAGCAGCCAUAUCACCCUGCAACUCAGCAAGCUUAGCAGGUGUGAGCCUGGUCAGUACCUGGAUGGGAGACCUCCUGGGAAAAACUAAGGUUGCUGCUGGAA
Molecule: ribosomal RNA, 104 nt
Filed under: Lepisosteus oculatus (spotted gar)
Lineage: Eukaryota; Metazoa; Chordata; Actinopteri; Semionotiformes; Lepisosteidae
Source: RNAcentral